This 499-nucleotide ribosomal RNA is filed under the name uncultured bacterium. Its description in RNAcentral is "partial 16S ribosomal RNA". It matches the Rfam family "Bacterial small subunit ribosomal RNA", at positions 28 to 507 of the family's 1533-position model. The record is from RNAcentral.
GAUGAACGCUGGCGGCGUGCCUAAUACAUGCAAGUCGAGCGAACAGACGAGAGUGCUUGCACUCUCUGACGUUAGCGGCGGACGGGUGAGUAACACGUGGGUAACCUACCUAUAAGACUGGGAUAACUUCGGGAAACCGGAGCUAAUACCGGAUAAUAUUUAGCUUCGCAUGAAGCAAUAGUGAAAGACGGUUCUGCUGUCACUUAUAGAUGGACCCGCGGUGUAUUAGCUAGUUGGUGAGGUAACGGCUCACCAAGGCAACGAUACAUAGCCGACCUGAGAGGGUGAUCGGCCACACUGGGACUGAGACACGGCCCAGACUCCUACGGGAGGCAGCAGUAGGGAAUCUUCCGCAAUGGACGAAAGUCUGACGGAGCAAUGCCGCGUGAGUGAAGAAGGUUUUCGGAUCGUAAAACUCUGCUGUAAGGGAAGAACAAGUACGUUAGUAACUGAACGUACCUUGACGGUACCUUACCAGAAAGCCACGGCUAACUACGUG